AGAUGAGUUCUCCCUGAUACUUUAAGUAUCCUAAAGGGUUGUCGUAGACUACGACGUUGAUAGGCAGGGUGUGUAAGCGUUGUGAGGCGUUGAGCUAACCUGUACUAAUUGCCCGUGAGGCUUAACCAUACAACACCCAAGGGGUUU
Molecule: ribosomal RNA, 147 nt
Filed under: Vibrio alginolyticus
Lineage: Bacteria; Pseudomonadati; Pseudomonadota; Gammaproteobacteria; Vibrionales; Vibrionaceae
Description: partial 23S ribosomal RNA
Rfam family: Bacterial large subunit ribosomal RNA (bases 1-129)
Source: RNAcentral